GAUUGAGACUAGUAGGGCUAGGC
This 23-nucleotide microRNA is filed under the name Homo sapiens (human). RNAcentral's name for it is "hsa-miR-4461". Lineage: Eukaryota; Metazoa; Chordata; Mammalia; Primates; Hominidae. The record is from RNAcentral.